This 245-nucleotide ribosomal RNA is filed under the name uncultured Ectothiorhodosinus sp. Its description in RNAcentral is "partial 16S ribosomal RNA". It matches the Rfam family "Bacterial small subunit ribosomal RNA", at positions 524 to 768 of the family's 1533-position model. The record is from RNAcentral. Lineage: Bacteria; Pseudomonadati; Pseudomonadota; Gammaproteobacteria; Chromatiales; Ectothiorhodospiraceae.
GACAGAGGGUGCAAGCGUUAAUCGAAAUAACUGGGCGUAAAGAGUACGUAGGCGGAAGAAUAAGUCAUGUGUGAAAUAUCGGGGCUCAACCUCGGGACGUCAUAUGAUACUGUUUUUCUAGAGUUUGGUAGAGGUAAGUGGAAUUUCCGGUGUAGCGGUGAAAUGCUUAGAUAUCGGAAGGAACACCAGUGGCGAAAGCGGCUUCCUGGUCCAGCACCGACGUUCAGGCACGAAAGCGUGGGGAG